GUCUUAUUGAUGAUAAUUUUAAGUCUAAUCUGCCCAAUGAAUUAUUAAAUGGCUGCAGUAUUUUAACUGUACAAAGGUAGCAUAAUAAUUAGUUUCUUAAUUAGGAACUGGAAUGAAUGAUUGAACGAGAUAAUAACUGUCUCAAUUUUAAUUAAAGAAUUUUAUUUCUAAGUAAAAAAGCUUAGAUUUUUUUAAAAGACGAGAAGACCCUAUAGAAUUUUAUAUAAUUUGAUUAAUAAUAGUUUUAGAAAAAAUUACUGUUAUUUUAUUAAAUUUAUUUAGUUGGGGUGAUUGAAAAAUUUAUUUAACUUUUUUUGAGACUUUAUAUUAAUUUAUAUUUUUAAUGAUCCAAUAUUUUUGAUUAUAAGAUUAAAUUACCUUAGGGAUAACAGCGUAAUUUUUUUAGAGAGUUCUUAUCGAUAAAAGAGAUUGCGACCUCGAUGUUGGAUUAAAGUUAAUUUUUAAUGUAGAAGUUAAAAUAUUAGGUCUGUUCGACCUUUAAAUCUUUACAUGAUCUGAGUUUAAAUCGGCGUGAGCCAGGUUGGAUUCUAUCUUUAAUAAUUUUUGAUAUUUUAGUACGAAAGGACCAAAUAUUUAUUAUAAUAAUUUGUUUAGAAUAAUA
RNAcentral lists this ribosomal RNA (622 nucleotides) under Latellana fortesculpta. RNAcentral's name for it is "partial 16S ribosomal RNA". The stretch from base 385 to 543 matches the Rfam family "Bacterial large subunit ribosomal RNA", at positions 2473 to 2632 of the family's 2925-position model. The record is from RNAcentral. Lineage: Eukaryota; Metazoa; Arthropoda; Insecta; Coleoptera; Leiodidae.